AGGUCAGUUUUGCCUACAAUAGCGGUCCUCACCGGCUGCUAGUCACUUUCAGUGGCGACACGCUCAAUUUGCGGAAAGGCCCUCUCGAGGGAAAUCCGCAACCAAGCUCCUUACCCGGAGUUCGGUUCAGAGACUCAAUGAGCGUGGGUCUGGCUUCGCGCCCGAUUUGAGAUAGAGCCCACCCCUGCUGGCAACUUCAGGGAAUCAGUGGAACCUGCGGAAGGAUCAU
This 229-nucleotide ribosomal RNA is filed under the name Lophodermium sp. 'montoco5 Chiapas'. RNAcentral describes it as "partial 18S ribosomal RNA". The record is from RNAcentral. Lineage: Eukaryota; Fungi; Ascomycota; Leotiomycetes; Rhytismatales; Rhytismataceae.